Molecule: non-coding RNA, 107 nt
Organism: Ceratotherium simum simum (southern white rhinoceros)
Lineage: Eukaryota; Metazoa; Chordata; Mammalia; Perissodactyla; Rhinocerotidae
Source: RefSeq, a predicted model, not a curated record
CUCCAGUUAUUCCAGCAAUUGCUGAAGCUUCUGUCUCAAGCAACCAUGCUGCACUGUGGUGUCAACUUUGCAACGUGCUUCUUCCUGAAACAGGUCACCAGCUUCCC